GGGUAGUCCUGGCUGUAAACGAUGCGGACUAGGUGUCACCGAAGCUACGAGCUUCGGUGGUGCCGGAGGGAAGCCGUUAAGUCCGCCGCCUGGGGAGUACGGCCGCAAGGCUGAAACUUAAAGGAAUUGGCGGGGGAGCACUACAACGGGUGGAGCCUGCGGUUUAAUUGGAUUCAACGCCGGGAAGCUUACCGGGGGAGACAGCGGGAUGAAGGUCGGGCUGAAGACCUUACCAGACUAGCUGAGAGGUGGUGCAUGGCCGCCGUCAGUUCGUACUGUGAAGCAUCCCGUUAAGUCAGGCAACGAGCGAGACCCGCGCCCCCAGUUGCCAGCGGUUCCCUUCGGGGAAGCCGGGCACACUGGGGGGACUGCCGGCGCUAAGCCGGAGGAAGGUGCGGGCAACGGGCAGGUCCCGUAUGCCCCCGAAUCCCCCCGGGCUACGACGCGGGGCUACAAUGGCCCGGGACAAAUGGGGUACCGACCCCCGAAAAGGGGGGUACGGGUAAAUCCCCCUAAAACCCCGGGGUCUAAACCCUGGGGGAUCGGAGGGGCUGCAACUCGCCCUCGU
RNAcentral lists this ribosomal RNA (568 nucleotides) under uncultured prokaryote. RNAcentral's name for it is "partial 16S ribosomal RNA". It matches the Rfam family "Archaeal small subunit ribosomal RNA", at positions 739 to 1277 of the family's 1478-position model. The record is from RNAcentral.